AUCCUGGCUCAGAUUGAACGCUGGCGGCAGGCCUAACACAUGCAAGUCGAGCGGGGUUUCGGACCUAGCGGCGGACGGGUGAGUAAUGCGUAGGAAGCUACCCGAUAGAGGGGGAUACCAGUUGGAAACGACUGUUAAUACCGCAUAAUGUCUACGGACCAAAGUGUGGGACCUUCGGGCCACAUGCUAUCGGAUGCGCCUACGUGGGAUUAGCUAGUUGGUGAGGUAAUGGCUCACCAAGGCGACGAUCUCUAGCUGGUUUGAGAGGAUGAUCAGCCACACUGGAACUGAGACACGGUCCAGACUCCUACGGGAGGCAGCAGUGGGGAAUAUUGGACAAUGGGCGCAAGCCUGAUCCAGCCAUGCCGCGUGUGUGAAGAAGGCCUUCGGGUUGUAAAGCACUUUCAGCGAGGAGGAAGAGUUGUGUGUUAAUAGUACACAGCUUUGACGUUACUCGCAGAAGAAGCACCGGCUAACUCUGUG
This 483-nucleotide ribosomal RNA is filed under the name uncultured bacterium. RNAcentral describes it as "bacterial SSU rRNA". It matches the Rfam family "Bacterial small subunit ribosomal RNA", at positions 16 to 507 of the family's 1533-position model. The record is from RNAcentral.